This 202-nucleotide long non-coding RNA is filed under the name Homo sapiens (human). Its description in RNAcentral is "HSALNT0341052". Lineage: Eukaryota; Metazoa; Chordata; Mammalia; Primates; Hominidae. The record is from RNAcentral.
UAUUUCCUUUUCCACCGUAGGCCUCAAAGCGCUCCAAAUAUCCACUUGCAGAUUCUAGAAAAAGAGUGUUUCAAAACUGCUCAAUCAAAAGAAAGUUUCAACUCUGUGAGAUGAAUGAACACAUCAGAAGAAAUUUCUCAGAAUGCUUCCGUCUAGUUUUUAUGUGAAGAUAUUUCCUUUUCUAACAUAGGCCAUAAAGCGC